CCUACGGGAUGCAGCAGUGGGGAAUAUUGGACAAUGGGCGAAAGCCUGAUCCAGCAAUGCCGCGUGUGUGAAGAAGGUCUUCGGAUUGUAAAGCACUUUCGACGGGGACGAUGAUGACGGUACCCGUAGAAGAAGCCCCGGCUAACUUCGUGCCAGCAGCCGCGGUAAUACGAAGGGGGCUAGCGUUGCUCGGAAUGACUGGGCGUAAAGCGCACGUAGGCGGACUAUUAAGUCAGGGGUGAAAUCCCGGGGCUCAACCCCGGAACUGCCUUUGAUACUGGUAGUCUUGAGUUCGAGAGAGGUGAGUGGAAUUCCGAGUGUAGAGGUGAAAUUCGUAGAUAUUCGGAGGAAUACCGGUGGCGAAGGCGGCAACCUGGCUCGAUACUGACGCUGAGGCGCGAAAGCGUGGGGAGCAAACAGGAUUAGAUACCCUGGUAGUC
RNAcentral lists this ribosomal RNA (440 nucleotides) under uncultured bacterium. RNAcentral describes it as "bacterial SSU rRNA". It matches the Rfam family "Bacterial small subunit ribosomal RNA", at positions 338 to 795 of the family's 1533-position model. The record is from RNAcentral.